This is a small nucleolar RNA of Alosa alosa (allis shad), 97 nucleotides long. RefSeq annotates it as small nucleolar RNA U13. The record is from RefSeq and is a predicted model, not a curated record. The transcript has a single exon. Lineage: Eukaryota; Metazoa; Chordata; Actinopteri; Clupeiformes; Clupeidae.
AUCCUUCUAGGUCAUACUCAUGAUGAUUGGUUAUUUCAUGAAUUUGUCAUGAAAUGUGUUGCCUUAUUGUUAUGCCAUGCUCAAGACCUAUCUGAUA